Molecule: unclassified non-coding RNA, 412 nt
Filed under: uncultured Sebacinaceae
Lineage: Eukaryota; Fungi; Basidiomycota; Agaricomycetes; Sebacinales; Sebacinaceae
Description: sequence contains ITS2
Rfam family: 5.8S ribosomal RNA (bases 1-154)
Source: RNAcentral
AACUUUCAGCAAUGGAUCUCUUGGCUCUCGCAUCGAUGAAGAACGCAGCGAAAUGCGAUAAGUAAUGUGAAUUGCAGAAUUCAGUGGAUCAUCGAAUUCUUUAACGCAACUUGCAGCCAUUGGUAUUCCAAAGGGUAAGGUCGUUUGGGUGUCAUUGUACUCUUACACUCUAAUGAUGGCGAAGCGGACUUGGGUGUUGCUUCGUUGCUGUGGCUCAUCUAAAAUAUGAUAUUGCAACUCAUGGAUGGAAAUACAACAGCGUGAUAAGGGACUUCGCUGGCACCACCUGAAGAGGGUGUCCGAUGAGCAGCUCAGUGCGUCAAUCCGUCCGAUCUGACACAACAUCUGCCAACUUGGCCUCAAAUCGAGUAGGACUACCCGCUGAACUUAAGCAUAUCAAUAAGCGGAGGCU